GGAGGAAAAGAAACUAACAAGGAUUCCCCUAGUAACGGCGAGUGAAGAGGGAAGAGCCCAAGAUUGAAAGCUGGCGUCUUCGGCGUCCGCAUUGUAAUCUCAAGAAGUGUUUUCCGCUUCGGACCAUGCCUAAGUCCCUUGGAAAAGGGCAUCAUAGAGGGUGAUAAUCCCGUACAUGGCAUGGAGCGCCCGAAGCUUUGUGAUACGCUUUCUAAGAGUCGAGUUGUUUGGGAAUGCAGCUCAAAAUGGGUGGUAAAUGCCAUCUAAGGCUAAAUAUUGGGGAGAGACCGAUAGCGAACAAGUACAGUGAUGGAAAGAUGAAAAGAACUUUGAAAAGAGAGUUAAACAGUACGUGAAAUUGCCAAAAGGGAAGGGUAGGAGGUCAGAGAUGCGGCCUAGGAUUCAGCCUUGCUUUUGCUUGGUGUUUUUCCUAGAUUGCAGGCCAACGUCGGUUUUGGGCACUGGAGAAUGGUGGAAGGAAUGUGGCACCUCUCGGGGUGUGUUAUAGCCUUCUACUGGAUACAGCGACCGAGACCGAGGACAGCAGCGUACUCGCAAGAGCGGGCCUUCGGGCACCUUUACGCUUAGGGCGUUGGCAUAAUGGCCCUCUACCACCCGUCUGAAAACACGGA
Molecule: ribosomal RNA, 632 nt
Filed under: Ustilago trichophora
Lineage: Eukaryota; Fungi; Basidiomycota; Ustilaginomycetes; Ustilaginales; Ustilaginaceae
Description: LSU rRNA
Rfam family: Eukaryotic large subunit ribosomal RNA
Source: RNAcentral